RNAcentral lists this ribosomal RNA (253 nucleotides) under uncultured bacterium. RNAcentral's name for it is "partial 16S ribosomal RNA". It matches the Rfam family "Bacterial small subunit ribosomal RNA", at positions 524 to 776 of the family's 1533-position model. The record is from RNAcentral.
GACAGAGGGUGCGAACGUUGUUCGGAAUUACUGGGCGUAAAGCGCAUGUAGGCGGCAGCGCAAGUCGGGCGUGAAAUCCCACGGCUCAACCGUGGAAGUGCACUCGAAACUGCGCAGCUAGAGUCCUGGAGAGGAAGGUGGAAUGCUUGGUGUAGAGGCGAAAUUCGUAGAUAUCAAGCGGAACACCGGUGGCGAAGGCGGCCUUCUGGACAGUGACUGACGCUGAGAUGCGAAAGCGUGGGGAGCAAACAGG